Molecule: long non-coding RNA, 157 nt
Organism: Telopea speciosissima
Lineage: Eukaryota; Viridiplantae; Streptophyta; Magnoliopsida; Proteales; Proteaceae
Exons: 3
Source: RefSeq, a predicted model, not a curated record
AAAUCAACACACACCUUAACCAGCAAGUGAGAUCACCCAACACAUGGAAGAGAAAAAGACCACCCCAAAUAGAAACUGUUAUUCACUUAGCCCCUUAAAAUAAAAUAUCUUCCUACAACAAUAUACAAAAUGGGAGGGCGGUAGGAGCUGGAACCCA